This 372-nucleotide ribosomal RNA is filed under the name Triticum aestivum (bread wheat). RNAcentral describes it as "partial small subunit ribosomal RNA". The record is from RNAcentral. Lineage: Eukaryota; Viridiplantae; Streptophyta; Magnoliopsida; Poales; Poaceae.
AUGCCUGCAAUCAAAUCGGAUGCAAUGGAAUAUAGCAUCAAAGGGCAGUCGCUGUACCUCGAAGAGAGUAUGACAAAUGCACUAUUCAAAAGGAGAGUGGGGGCUAAAUUCAGUGCAAAAAGCUUCCUAAGAGAGUAUGACAGGAUAAUAGAAGUCAUUCAUGAGAGGGAGCAAGAAUGUGAUCACUUGUCUAGAAACAAAAAGGAUGCGCACAAGAAGCUCUGGUCCAAAUACAGUAUAAAACGACAAGGGCAUGAGCUCUACAACAUUCGGAUCUUCAGGAAGAUCCAAAAGAAGAUGGAAGAUACGACGAGGCUGCAUGUGUUUGAGCUUGAAAAAGAAAAAGAAAAACUACAUGGUUUAUCAAGCUGA